This 561-nucleotide long non-coding RNA is filed under the name Marmota monax (woodchuck). Lineage: Eukaryota; Metazoa; Chordata; Mammalia; Rodentia; Sciuridae. The record is from RNAcentral.
AUUUUCUUACCCUUUAUGUAAAUGGAUUUGAACUUAUGAGUCCUUUCCAAGAAAGGACAGUCUGCAAACUUAAGCAAAUGUGCACAAAUAUCUGUAUAACUUCUCAAUUUUGCCAAACUACUGAAAACAUCCUCAGUGCAGUGUUAAAAAUGUCCAGAUGCUGCAAGAAAUCAGGCCUGUGCUGAAGUUACUCAGCAAGGCAAACUUCUGCAGAAGGAUGUGCUUCAGAACAGUGAACAGUCUGGCAAGCAAGCGUGUGUAGGCAGGUAGUCUGUCUGCUUUUAUCCAUAUCGGCACUGCGCUUGCUCUGAUAGAAGGAGUUCAGGGUUACCAUCUAUGUGAUUGGCUCUGAGGAGGGCAAAGGGAAGGGCUACAGUUAAAAUGGCUAGACUGGAUACAGGUUGGGAAUCUCAAACUAGCUCUGAUUGAAUCUUAAUAUCCCACUUUUACACUUAAGCCUAAAUACUAUGUUCUGAAAAUAGACCACCAGACUUUCUAUUUCUUAGGAGUGCAAAGCCAAGCUGUUUAACUGGUGAGGGAAGGGUCUUUUUUGAAGGGUAC